This 464-nucleotide ribosomal RNA is filed under the name uncultured bacterium. Its description in RNAcentral is "partial 16S ribosomal RNA". It matches the Rfam family "Bacterial small subunit ribosomal RNA", at positions 28 to 507 of the family's 1533-position model. The record is from RNAcentral.
GACGAACGCUGGCGGCGUGCUUAACACAUGCAAGUCGAACGGAAAGGCCCUGCUUGCAGGGUACUCGCGUGGCGAACGGGUGAGUAACACGUGGGUGAUCUGUCCUGCACUUCGGGAUAAGACUGGGAAACUGGGUCUAAUACCGGAUAGGAGCCAUCUUUCGUGUGAUGGUUGGAAAGUUUUUUGGGUGUGGGAUGAGCUCGCGCCCUAUCAGCUUGUUGGUGGGGUAAUGGCUUACUAAGGAGGCACGGGGUAGCGGGCCUGGGAGGGUGGCCGGCCCCAUGGGGCUGGGAAUCGGGCCCAGCCCCCUCCGGGAGGCAGAAGUGGGAAUAUUGCACAAUGGGCGCAAGCCUGAUGCAGCGACGCCGCGUGGGGGAUGACGGCCUUCGGGUUGUAAACUCGUUUCGCUAGGGACGAAGCUUUUUGUGACGGUACCUAGAUAAGAAGCACCGGCUAACUACGUG